AGGGUUUGUCAAGAUUGAAGAACUGAAGUUUAGUUCAUUAGCGUUUGAAGAAGAACUAAUCAGAGUUGGUUUAGGAAAACUAAGAAGGUGUCGGUGGGGUAGUGACUUAUGUAACAAAUUCAACUAAUCAGAGUUGGUUUAGGAAAACUAAGAAGGUUACCAUGGUUGAAAUCUCAGAAGAUGAUUCUGCUUCUAAUCUUCCAAUUAUACAUGGAGUGGCAUCACAAAUGGGACCUCCCCCUCCACGUCCACCGCGUUCUGGACAAGUGCAUGGACCAUCAGCAGGGACAGGGAGUACCGCUGGC
Long non-coding RNA from Papaver somniferum (opium poppy), 305 nucleotides. RefSeq lists it as uncharacterized. The transcript is spliced from 3 exons. The record is from RefSeq and is a predicted model, not a curated record. NCBI's taxonomy places the organism in Eukaryota, Viridiplantae, Streptophyta, Magnoliopsida, Ranunculales, Papaveraceae.